UGGCUUUGACCCCGACCUACUUAUCUGGGAUGCCAAGAUCAUUUUCUGCAAACCCUUCUCUAUGGAGGACUUCAUUGCAGUUGGCUGGAAUAGUUGGAAGCAAAGGAAUGUGAGGAACGGCCACAUGAAAGAAGUCAUGUGAACAUAUCAGACAUGGCUGCCUGAUAGAACAUUCUUCUGAACAAAGCAGGUUGUACAAGGACUACAAACAAAGUACUCCCUCCAUUCCUAAAUAUAAGUCUUGUUAGAAGAUUUCAAUAUGGACUACAUAUGGUGGAAAUGGGUGAAUCUCACUCUAAAAUCCGUCUAUAUACAUCUGUAUCUAAUCCACACUGAAAAUCUCUAAAAAGACUUAUAUUUGGAAACAGAGGGAGUAGUUUCUUAUCAACAUGCUGAACCCAAAAAAUGUCACGAAGAAGAAGAAAAGAAAGAUCAUCUGCAGCAUCAGUUUCAAACUUUUCUAUCGCUUGGCUCGCAGCAACUCAUGUGCAAUGUCAUGAGCAUUACCAAAUUAAUGAGCUAGAGCAUUUAUCAGUAAGGAGAAAAGUGAUGUACCAGGCUCCAAUCAGCCUCCUGGAAUGAGGUCAGGAACUAUCCAACUACAGAUCAAGAUGCAUACAGUGCGACAUCCAUACGCCACCAAGAAGUAGUCAUUCGCCAAUCCAGCGGCAGUGACACCCUCCUCCGAGACACUCUGGGCGAGCGGCUUUCGUUUAGCUGCUUCUUUUACUCAUGUUUUCCAUUGCCCAUUCAAAUUGCUC
RNAcentral lists this long non-coding RNA (761 nucleotides) under Triticum aestivum (bread wheat). RNAcentral describes it as "long non-coding RNA (TAES_LNC000619)". Lineage: Eukaryota; Viridiplantae; Streptophyta; Magnoliopsida; Poales; Poaceae. The record is from RNAcentral.